GUUUUAUUUUAAAAAAAAAAACAUAGUUUACAGAAGGUCUACCUAUCUAUAGGCUACCUGAAUUUCUGAAAUGUACUGUAUUUCUAAAUAUGCUAUUGCUACACUUAAUGGCAAACAUUGCACUGGUCUGCUGGACUGAAACAAAUAAACAAUAUUUUGUUGAUUAAGCUUAUGUAUUCAGUCAUUAUUCAAUGGUAUACUAAAAAUCCAUGUGAAAAAAAUUACUUCUCACUGUUCUCAGGUCAAAUAUUUAUAUGCAAUUAAAAUGCAAUUAAUUUCGAUUAAUUAAUUAUAAAGCCUCUAAUUUAUUAGAUUAAUUUUUUUAAUCGAGUCCCGGCCCUAGAAAUAACUAUUGUUUCCAGUACAAUUUUGAAGAUGUGAGGAAAAGUUUGGUGUUUCAGCAGCCGGUAUCAUGAUUUAA
Long non-coding RNA from Sander lucioperca (pikeperch), 421 nucleotides. RefSeq lists it as uncharacterized. Lineage: Eukaryota; Metazoa; Chordata; Actinopteri; Perciformes; Percidae. The record is from RefSeq and is a predicted model, not a curated record. The transcript is spliced from 3 exons.